Molecule: ribosomal RNA, 253 nt
Filed under: uncultured bacterium
Lineage: Bacteria
Description: partial 16S ribosomal RNA
Rfam family: Bacterial small subunit ribosomal RNA
Source: RNAcentral
UACGUAGGGUGCAAGCGUUAAUCGGAAUUACUGGGCGUAAAGCGUGCGCAGGCGGUUAUGCAAGGCAGAUGUGAAAUCCCCGGGCUCAACCUGGGAACUGCAUUUGUGACUGCAUGGCUAGAGUGCGGCAGAGGGGGAUGGAAUUCCGCGUGUAGCAGUGAAAUGCGUAGAUAUGCGGAGGAACACCGAUGGCGAAGGCAAUCCCCUGGGCCUGCACUGACGCUCAUGCACGAAAGCGUGGGGAGCAAACAGG